This 14579-nucleotide long non-coding RNA is filed under the name Brachypodium distachyon (stiff brome). RNAcentral's name for it is "long non-coding RNA (BDIS_LNC002641)". The stretch from base 9911 to 10045 matches the Rfam family "MIR1120/MIR1122 microRNA precursor family". Lineage: Eukaryota; Viridiplantae; Streptophyta; Magnoliopsida; Poales; Poaceae. The record is from RNAcentral.
GGGCGGACAUCCAGUCGGACACGUACGUGCUGCUGGAGCCCGGGAUGGAGGAGGAGUUCGUGUCCAAGGAGGAGCUGGAGGCCAGGCUGAGGGGGUGGCUGGAGAGGUGGCCGGGGGACGAGCUGCCGCCGGACCUGGCCGUGUUCGACACGCUGGACGACGCCGUCUCGUACCUCGUCAGGUCCGUGUGCGAGCUCGAGAUCGACGGCGAGGUCGGGUCUGUGCAGUGGUACCAGGUUCAGCUGGAAUAGCAAACCACUACUUGCGUGGCGCAUCGUUUCUGUAACGAGUUUUGGCCCCCGAAUUUUUUUUUUGCCUUUUGGCAGGCAGGCAUAUGAAUGAAUUCUAUGGGAAUUUUCAGAGAAAUUGCUCGCUUUGCGUUGGAAAGUCGAAACGGGUCAUAAUUAAAAUCGAUCCUCUGAGCCGACGGCCAUAGGAAAAACAUAUGGAGGAGAGAAGAGAACAGCUGGCUGGGUCAGCGCAGGCCAGUCACAGUCAGUGCGGUGCGAAAGCUCGCCCUUCUUCCUCCGUUUUUCCACAGGGGGUCGGGAGACGAAACUGAAGAAAACCGGAGGGGGUCAGGCGUCAGCUCGACCGCUGGAUGGAGCCUGACUUUCCCGGCAGACGGGAGAGAGAGAGAGACCCCCGGGUCACGGCAGCAUCCGUUCCGAUUCCAUUCCACGGACAAUUGCGUUUUCCGCAGUCUCUCUCUCUCGGCUCUCGCUCUCCCUGGCCGUCGCCGUCGCUCCCCUCGGGUUGACUUGACUUCCACACACACACACACACAUACCUCCCUCCCCUGGCCACUCCAAUCCCGUUUUCUUUUGCUCUUCUUCUCCUCUCCCUCUCUCUCUCCCCGGUGCUUUGUCAGCCCCCUACGCCCCCCUCGACCGAGUCCGCAAUCUUGGAUUGCGCCGGUGGACUCGAGCACGGCCGCGGGCGGUGAGUCGUCCUUAUAUUCUUCUCUUGCUAUGCUUAUGUAGGCUGUAGCAGGGUUUCUGCUUUCUCGUACUGAAGCCAGGGUUUCUUGAUAUUCACCUUUUUUUUCUUCUCAUGUACUAGUUAGUUAAUUUCGUCCGAUUUUAAACCUUGGAACUGGUUUCCAGAUUAUCUGUGCUUGGUGUUAGAUUUUCUUCUUCCGGUGGAGAAAAUCUUUCCAAUUAGGGGCAACUGGUGGAAGAACUCUGGCCUAAUCCGUUAAGAGGUAAAUAUUGGACGAACCUCUUCUCUACUGUACCAUUUUAGAUGCUGUUAUAGUCUAUUUCAAGAAAUCCAAUCCUUUUGUAGCUUAUCAUUUGUUGGCACUUUUUUUUUUGGAAAAGCCACUAUGUCCCAAUUGGCAGCAUACUUAACGUCCUAUGGGGAUGCUAAAAAAAGGUGUUCCAAAAAUACAGACGAAUCAUCUUUUUUUUUUUGCGGGUGGAAUUAUCUGUUUUUUGUGGUUGAUGUGAGACGAAUUACCUUGAUGAAUCAUUCAAAGCUCAAAGUUGAUAAGCUGUUUCAUUUGGGGAGCAAGUGACAAGUUGUGUCCCUAUUAAUAGCCUUCGUGGCAUAUUAUCUAAUCAAAUCCAACCUUGAAAUUAAGUAUAUUCAAGUUUUCAACUUAUUUUCAUAAGAGAUAAAGAGAAUCAAGCGUUUAAAAGCCAGCAAGGAGAAAAGGGAGAAUUUGUUUUAUUAUUGAUGUUUUAUUAUAAGCUUAAACUGUGAGGUCACAGUCACACGCUACUGCUACCAUGCUAGUAACCGUGUUAUGACUUCACUGUGUAUCAGUUUCUCGAUGUACUCUAAUGAAUCUGUUUUGUUAAUUUAGCUCACAGUCCCUACUUUGUUUGUUCAUUAACGUUUCCCAUGUCUUAGAUACUUUUCAUGAUUUGAUCUUCAUUAACUUUUAAGUGUUCUUCAUUUUAAGUUUUUCAUAUUUGGAGUUGAACUUGACCUUUGUAUAAACAUGUGAAGCAGGCAUAUAAAUCUACACAAUGAUGGCUGCUGAGUUAGUUAAGCAGUGUUCAAACAUCACCCUGGGAGAAGAAACAGACAUGUGUAGUAUUAGAUAUGAUCUCAAGGCAUUGCGGAAGAAGAUCCUUAGUUUGGAUUUCCAAAACUCUAUACAUGUUCAUGAUCCACAGAACUCAUUUGAGUACUUAGAAGUUCUGUACAAAAUUCGGCAACUGUCUGAGAGGUUAGGGAACUUGGACCCUGGUGAAGAAGCCAAAGAGCACAAGGAACUCACUGUAUAUGCUGAUGAACUUUUUGAAAUGGCAAUGGCAACGCUUGAAGAGGAGUUCUUUUACCUUCUUACACACUACAAACAACCAUUAGAACAGGAACUUCUCUCCUUCCGUUCUACAGAGGAUGGUAGCACAGAUGAAUUUUCAAGCAGCUCAUUCAGUGAGGAACAAAGUGAAGGGAAGUCAACACAAACUGUUAGUAGCGGAGGAUCAGAAUAUUUUGUGGCUGAUUUGAUUCAAACUGGUGCACUCUCUGCUGUGAGGUCCAUUGCUAACUUCAUGUUCCUGAGUGACUAUGAUAAGGAGUGUUGCCAGGCUUAUAUAAAUGCACGGCAGGGUGCAAUAGAUGAGUUCAUUGGGUCUCUGCAUAUUGACAAGCACAGUAUAGCAGAACUUUUGAGCACUAAUUGGACCAAAUUAAGUUCAUUGAUAAGGAAGUGGAACCGGGCAAUGAAGGUUUUUGUUCGAGUCUACCUUGCAAGUGAGAGGCGCCUCAGCAAUCUUGUCUUUGGUAAACUUUCAGAAUCAACUGCAAAUUUGUGCUUCUAUGAGAUUUCAUUUAGCUCAGUCAUGCUGCUCCUGAGCUUUUAUGAAUCUGUAGCAAUUGGGCCUCCUAAACCAGAAAAGCUUUUUCGCAUGCUUGAUAUGUACGAAGUCCUAGAUGAUCUACUCCCUGAAGCAGAGUUCUUGUUUCAAGCAGGGUACGGUGAUAUGGUUUUAACCGAGUACCAUGAAGUCCUACUCAAACUGGGAGAAUCAGCAAGGAAAACAUUUGCAGAAUUCAAGUAUGCCAUCCAAUCCUACACAUCAUCCAGUGCAGUGCCUAGUGGUGCAGUGCAUCCCCUUACAAAGUAUGUUAUGAACUAUAUAAAGGCUGUCACAGUUUACAGUAAAACUCUCGAUUUGCUUCUCAAGGGCAUGGAUCGAAGUUACCACCAUUUCUCCGCUGAUAUUCAGUCCAUGACAAACUCGUACCCUCAUUUCACUGUUACAGCAUUGCAUCUGCAGUCCGUUGCUGCAGUUUUAGAAGCAAAUCUUGAAGCUGGGUCUAGAUUGUACAGAGAUGGCCGAUUGCGGAGCAUCUUUGUGAUGAACAAUAUCUACUACAUGGUCCAGAAAGUGAAGAACUCAGAUCUCAAAAGCUUUCUUGGUGAUGACUGGAUACGGGGGCACAAUCGGAAGGUACAGCAUCAAGCGACGGACUAUGAGAGGGCUUCGUGGAGCCAUGUCCUCUCUUACCUGUGUGACGAUGGCUUAUGUGCUGCCGGAGAUGCUGCGUCUCGUAAAACUAUUAGGGAGAAAUUCAAAAAUUUCAACCAGUCUUUUGAAGAAGUUUAUCGAGUUCAGACAGCAUGGUCUAUCCCAGAUGAUCAACUCCGUGAAGAUGUCAGGAUUUCCAUAUCACUGAAAGUUAUACAGGCCUAUAGGACAUUUGUUGGAAGAUACUCUAGCUUCCUUGAUGGCACAAAGCACCGAGAUCGCUGUCUAAAGUACAGGCCUGAGGAUUUGGAGGAACUUUUGCUGGACCUGUUUGAAGGAACUCAAAAGACAUUGCAGCAUUAAUGCUGAGCUUGAAGCUAAUCUGGAAGAUUAUCAUAUCACGGUUUUUACAUUAUGGAAGAAAAGCACCCCUGGCCUCUACUCACAAAGAUUCAUACAGCCAAGAUAUCAUGUCAAGGUUGCUGUAAAUUUUGCUCUGUAUUAGUUUUUCAAAUGAUACUUCCGUUUAUUUAUUAGAUUUUUUUGCUAUAGUGAUGUUCAUGCUAAAAAAAUGUGUUGAUGUCUUGCGUUUGCCAGAACCUUCAUAACAGGAAGCCUGUAUAGUUUCUUAAUAUAUAUACCUGCCAGUUAUUCUGCAACUGGUUGCAAAAUAUUAUUCUGUGCACCAAAGUCUACUACCUGAUGCUACCAGUACCAAGUAUACUUGUGCACAAUGGUAUUUAUCGUUUUUUGCUUGUUAAAUGUUGACUUCGGGUUUGCUUGUUAUCAUAUCGUACAUGAAAGAUCUCGCUCCAGAGAUCAUAUGGUGCAUAGGCAUGUUAGCCAAACAGAGAUUGGACAUAAUUAAUCUCCUUCCAGAGGACAAGUGUUUACCCUGCCAAGGAUCUAUCCUCUUUGUGAUUUUCUGAAUUAGGGGCAUGAACUGGUCAUUGUUUAAUCUAUGGUCAUCAGUUGGUAUUCCUAAGUAUAUAAAAGGUCAACUCCUCAACUAACUUAACAUGUGAGCAAUUCUUUGCUCCUCCUCCCGUCUGCAACCCAAAACAUAAAAACCGGUUUCUGAAUAUUGUUUUGUUAUUGAUCCAGUUGUCCUUCACUGGUAAUUUUCUGAACAAGUAAGAGCCUUAAAUUGUUUGAAAGAAUUUAGCAAGCUCUCAUUCUGAACACAUACAUCUAUAUACAUCUAUAUACCUCUAGGAAGAUUUUAAUUAGCCUGAACGAAUUUUGGUGUCCUUAAUUAAUUGGAUUAGCAAUGGAUCAUCAAACACUAGCAGGGACGGAGAACUGAUAUAUGUGCGGCUGCUCUGGAGUCUGCACUCUGGUCAUCCUGCGUGCUGGUCGUCGCCCUCCUUCUUGAGGUCAGACGGCGGCAGGAAAUGGUCGGAGGAGAGGCCGUAGACGUUGAAGUCUGCCUCCUCCACCGUCCACGUCUCCUCCAGCUUCCUCUUGUGGUUGACGGAGCCUUCGCCGUAGCGGAAGAGCGUGACGGCGGUCUUCCCGCCGUGCGCGAUGUUGAUGCCGUCGAUGCAGCGGUAGUCGGAGAUGACGGACUCCAUGCUGGUCUCCCAGAAGAUGUUCUCGCUGCGUCUGGCGCCCUUCCCGGACUUCAUCCGGAGCAGGUGCGAGUCCUCGAGCUGGAUCAGCAGCCCCGUCCGCUGGCUGAAGUAUCCCCACACCGUGUGGUGGAUGAUGUCGAACGCCGCCGCGCUCCGCGCCCGCAGCGUCGCCGCGCUCGCCUCCAGCUUCAGGAUGAAGCACUCCUCCCCGUUGAUCACCUUCUCCCCGAUGCACACCGCGUCCGAGAACAGGUUCGCGAUCGACCGCGGGUCCAGGCCCUGCAAAACGGCAAGCAAUAAUCGAUUGGUUGAUCGUUGCAUCUGGAAUGCACGCAUCAUUGACAUUGGCAUUGGUGGAAAACGAUCGAGAUGCGUGCCUGGAGGGAGCGGCGGAGGGGGCGGGGAGGGCCGCGGGAGACAUGGGAGAUCUCGGCGGCGGACUGGCGCCAGGCGACCUUGCCGUCGCUGCCGGCGCUCAUCUUGUGGCCGGCCAUGAUGAGCUCGAAGUACCAGACCUCGGGGCACUUCUGCCAGAGCACGAAGCCGCCCACCUCGGCGCGGCCCUGGGCGGCCGUCACGGUCUGGUCGCCCAGGUGGAACUCGGACGCGCACAUCCGCACUUUGCCCACCGCGUACAUGCUCUGCACGCUCUGCAGCGCCGCCUGCCCGCCCGUCGCCGCGAUGUACUGCUGCAUGAUGUACUUGGCCGUCGACGCUUGCUUCACAAAACACAAACACACGCACGUCAUGGAUUUCAUUCAUUCAUCCUUGCCGUUCUGUACUGUACGUACAAAAUGGAACAUGGCUUGCGAUCACCCGAUUUGCUUACGAUGGAGGAGUCGCGGAUGGAGCGGCUGAAGGCGCGGUCGUGGGGGACGGGGCAGGGGACGAGCGGGGAGCCGACGACGUUGAGGAAGAGCUGGAGCUCGGCGUUGGCGGCGGCGGCGGCGGGGCCCUCGGCGGUGGCGCGGUCGAAGGCCUGGGUCUUGAGCCAGGCGCGCAUGUUGGCGCCCCGGCGCUUGUCGGAGCCGGGGGCGUUGGCGAGCAUCUCGUCGGGGAUGGGCACCUCCAGCACCGUGUCCAGGGAGUCGUCGCGGUCAUGGUUCGGGCACAGCUUCCUCAUCAGGCCACGCGGGCAUCAACGGCCGGCGACCGGAACUGGAAAGACGGAUGAGAGAAACAAGGGGAGGGAGGAACGAGAGGGGGAAAAGGAAAGGGCAUGUUGAAGCGGACGCCAUGCAUUGGAAGCGAGGAAUUAGUGGAUCGCGCGGAGCCCGGAGGCUGAGGAGAGGCGCGGGUGCUACAUUGAAAUGGAGCCAAACUCUCCCAGAGAGCCCGUGCCCAUGUUUGACACGCGUCCAUCCGUGCCAUGCGUGAUGCGUUUGCAUAUAUAGGAAACGGAGUUUCCUGUGCAUGAUCGAUCUGCGCAUGCAAUUUCCAGCAAUUUACCUGGACCGGUUAAUUGGUGGAUUUGUUUUGCAUGAAACAGAUUCCAGUGCGUGAUCGCAACACUGGUAUUAACAUACGAACCUGAAGCUCAUGGCCUUCUUCCAGGCAAAGAAAUCAAACUCCAUAUAUAAACAUGAGCUAAUCAAAUUACGAACAUCUGAACAUGAAAGGCGUACACAGACAAAGAUCGAAGCAGAAUAACCAUUACAUCUCCACCAGAGCAACAAAACAUAAAGGGAAAAAAAUGUGCUACGUGACGCCACUUAAUAUAUGGUCCAAUUGAUCACUGCACCAAGAAAGCAAGGAUGGAUGCAACGCCGAGGAGACCACGGAGACCAACGAACGCAGCAGCAGCACGAGGAGGAGCGUCGUUCUCCGGGCUCAACGUGUUCGCCGCAGGGCCGUACGCGCCGAUCGGUGUCGUGAAGCUCCCUCCCAUGCCGGGCGUAGUCGGGGAAGAAGAACUCGUGCCGUUCCCCGUCCCUGCAGCACUGUACAUACAAUGCACAGAAGCCAACCACAUAGUUCAGUACACAAGGAUCGGAAACAGAUGGAAAGUUGGAGAUUACUAGUACAGUAGUACGUACCUCGGAGUUGCAGGGUACUUGCAAGUUCCGGAGCCUGCACAACACAAGUUACUAAGUUAGGAAUCAACACGCCGGCCACCGUGAGAUCGAGGAAAUUAAUUGAGAUGCCGAGUCCAGUCUACUGAAAUCUGUGAUCGGCGCACGUACUGGGGUCUGUGGAGGAGAGGGUGGCUGUGCCGCCGAAGUCGCAGCCGGUGGCGCCCUGGGUCUGGCUGUUCCGCUGGUAGUAGCUGUUUGCCGCGUAGGAGCAGUGCGCCGCCACCGAGUCCGGGCUGUGGCAGCUGCCCCCCGUCAGCACCGGGGCGCAGUCCGCGUCGUGCCCGCACGCGUAGUCCAGCGUCUUCUGCAGCGCCUCCUCCGUCGCGUUCGGCCUGCACACGCACCACGCCGCGCCUGAUCCUCGCAAUGGAACGGCCACCAACACCAGCAGCAACACCACCGGAGGCAUCGUCAUCGAGCAGCAAGCAAUUUCUUUCUCUCUGGCUCGUCGACGACGCUGGUAGUUGUACGUGGGCAGUGGUGGCGAUCGAGAGCGGCUUACUUUGCCUCGUACUUAUUGGCCGUUCGGCGCGACGUCGACGCCCUCUUUUUUGCCCCCCUCCUCGUUCCUUUUUCGCUCUUUCCGACCAUUUUCCGCAGGGUGUCGACUUUGGGCCGAGCCGCUGUGUUUUCUUCGACGCGAAGUUUGCGUUCCCGACCCAUAUUGCAGAGACACCUGUGGGUUUCUUCGGGCUGUUCUAGGCCUGGUUUAUGGUCGACCGAGCCACCGUGCUCCAAAGUGAAGGGCUAAAGGCGAGGGAAAGUAGCAAAGCUGCAAAGUUGUUUGUGUGCUGUGCUGCUGUUCAUCCUAGUGGUAGUGCUUAACAGAGAGCCCCUGUUUGUUUUUGGAGGAAAAAUAAAGGUAAAGCUGUAUCAAUCAUUGUACAUGCCCUCAUAUGAUAGAUACGUUCUUUUGUACAAGAGAAAAAGGGCGCAUGUGAUCCUGCAUAUACUCGGUAGGCCUGAACUUGUACCUGUGAUGCUUUUAUCAAGUACCAUGAGUCACCAUGCUUAGGUGUUGAGUUGAAUAUUCAGCUCAACACAUUUUUGCUUUUGAUUCGUAAGGAAGGCCUUGCAGAUUCUUCUUAGCAUCAUGACAAAUUAACCACCAAAUUUUAUUUUACUUCUUCAGGGGUCUUAGCUUUCCAAAGGUGUUCAAAAGAUCAUUUCAAUUGGCAAUCCCCUUUUACAGAAAGAAAGAAAAAUAGGUCUGUACAUGGAUUCGAUUGUGAAUUUCCCAGAUUUUUGUCCAACGCAUUUAUUUAUUUUUAGUUUUGGAGUUGCUAACCACGUAGUUCAGACUGUUUGUCCAACGCAAUUUAGGAACAUCAGUUCCAUUAACAAGCAGACAUCUGCGUUGCCCAACAUAUCAACUGUAACAUCUCCGGUCUAGUACAAACGGACCAUGAAUUUAUCAUGGUUACAGCAAAUUUGAACUUAUCAGAAGCAACAUCUGACAACAUAUUAACGCUCAGAUACGGAAAGAUAAAAUUUAUUAUGAAAGUUCUCAAGACCAGAGCACGCGAAUGCUCAUUUCAGUACAAGAUUAGACAGGAUCACGAGCAUCACCACAACACAAGCCUGAACAGACUCAACAUCCAGGACACAUCACAACAACACACACCUGGGAAAGCAAACAUCGUGACACAAAUUGGCUUAUUUCAUGGCCGCGGAGAAACCUGCCUAGAAACUAGUUUAAGAUGAUGGCUUCAUCAGUGCAGCAACCUUCUGGACAGAUGGCUUAGCAAGCAUGUCAGACCACCAGGCUUUCACAUGUGGAUAGGCGUCGAACAAGGAAGCAUAGGGUGUAGCCGCCAAGCAUAGGGUCGCAGAAACAUGGUUAAGGUCUGCAAGACUGAGGAAGUCUCCAGCCAAGUACUUGCACUUGGUCAGGCGUGCCUCAUACACCUCCAGCACCUUCUUCAGUUUCACAAGGUUUUCGUCAAUGACUUUCUGGUCAGUGGCUCCCCCGAGCAUAGGAUGGAUGAGGCACUCAAAGAGAAUGGGGCUCAGCGCGGAAGUGUACUGAUGGGCCUCCACCUCGAGCCACACAUCCACCAUUGCUGACUCCUCGAGGUUGCCCUCCUUCAGCAGCUCUGGUUUGUUCUUGCGGCAUGCAUACUUGCAAAUAGCACGGGAUUCUAACAGGAAGAGAAAAACAACAAAACCAGAGUUAUGAUAAUCAACACGUUGGUAAAUACCCAAGGAUUCCAAAGUUGUAUGGUACUAAUUUAUCCUGGUUAAAUAAAUUGAUCGAAGACUAACAAAACAAUGACAAAACCCCUAACAUUUCUAAACUUGAUUAAAUUUGAAAUGAUAACUACAUACAUAUAUGAUGAGAAUUCAAAUAGCAAACAUAUAAGCAUUUGCCAGAAACUUAUGUUCCUUUUUCAUUCUGAAACAGAAUAAAGCUCAUGUUUGGUCAUUAUAUUACUUCACAAUUCUGAAAAAAAGCAUACAAGAGCAAGUUGAUGAAUAUUCAAGUACAUAUUGCUAUAUUCAUUUAUUAAAUUUCAGGUGAUGUUUUGACCAGAAUGGCAACAGCCUCACAGCACUUAUGGAAAUGAUAACGUGCUGCUCUAUGCUUGGUCCUUCCUGAUCAAUUACUACUCUGGUUUCUAUCAGCAGCAUAAUAAGAAAAACUAUAAAAAAAAUUGACGGGCUAAAACUAUAAUUAUAUUGACCAAGUGGAAAUAUUGAACAGCAUGACAACCAAGCCCGAAAAUUAUACUCCUCGUAACAUAAUGACAAACAAACAAAUACACAUAAUUGGUUUUUUUAAUCAUGUCGUCAUAAUGCAAGUGAAGCUGAUCCUGUGCUUCGAGUAAAAUGUCAGGUAUUCCUCCGUCCAACAAAAGAUGUCUCAAGUUUGUCAAAAUUUGGAUGUAUCUAGACAUGACUUAGUGUAUAGAUGCAUUCAAAUUUGGUCAAAGUUGAGACAUCUUUUGUUGGACGGAGGGAGUACCAUUUUCUCCCAUGUGGAAAUGCCAGGUUUAUUAUGUUAGGAAAUAAGGCAACACUAUAAACAACAAAAUAAACUAUCACAACUAAAUAUUGUAAAAGCAUCACGACCUUUUGUAGUUCUAUUUAUGAGGGUAGGAACAAAGAAAACAUAUAAAGAGAUAGCAUCAUACCCCAAACGUACAAGUCACCAUCCUGCAAAGCUGGCACUUGACCAAAGGGCUGCAGAGAACCAUAUGAAGAAAGUGAGUUUUGACAAUCAGAUGCCACACCUCUAAAACCAGGAACAUGUCACAGUUGCUAUGACACUAAGAUCCGUUGCCCAAAAGUUAUGACAUUAUGAUAACACUCUUAAGGGAAAAGACUCCCAUUGUUCUACAGAUAAACACAUGCUUCUUUGACUUAAAAAAUGGUGAUACAUGCUAGCAAACAGUCAAGUUGCUCUAUCAUAAAACAGUUGAAAAUAUAUAUACAUUAAAAAUAUCUCGUAAUAGCAAAAUAAUCGUAUAAAUAUGUACUUUGACGUUCAAAAUACAUGGCUAAUUUCACAUUCAAAAAAUUUGUAGCUACGAUAGGGCCAAACAAAUUUGCCUGAAAAGUUCAGCUUAAACAGGCAAUACAGGCUUAGAAUUACCCCUAUGUUUGCCGGUCUGAAAUUUAGAUGGCAUCAAUCUUCAAAACUGAUAGAAUAGCAGGGAAGAAGUUAUCAGGUGCAUGCUUCUUAUAAUGUGUGGCUGGAAAGUCUGUGGCUUCAUGGGGGUUGGGUUGGGGGGGGGGGGGGGGGUGCUGGUGGUGCUAAUUGCAGACCCAUUCUUUUGCUCCUAAAUCCUAAUGUCCGAUUAUUAAUACGGUUAGUCUAGCAGUUGACUUUUGGGUACUCCAGACUCUCAUAAACAAGGCUUGUUUUGAUAACAAGUAGAUUAGGUCUACAGCUGAGAUCAUAUGUUAUAUGUUGCAUGUGUUCGUCUCUGUCAAGGCUUCACAACGACGAAAAUAAACAGGCAGUGUUGAGUGCUUCUACUUUUAUCGUGCAGACUGAAGCAUUGGGUGAACACUCCCGGGUGACUCAUGGACAUGAUGCAAGGGAAACGCUUAUGCUCAGGAUAACUCAUGGAAGCGAUGCUGAUGGGACGUCUAUCAUGCUGUCUCCAUGAUGCUGCUAUGGAACCAAAAAUAAGUGCACUGGGCUGCAAUUUAAUUUAUAUGGUAAUCUGAAUAGUGGCUGCCUUUUGCUUUGCUUUGCGUUCUGCUGGUAGUUCUCUGAGCAUUAACAGGUUGCUUGGGGCUCCUGGGUUGAUGCUGGGUGACUAAACAAGUAAGCACCGACAUGUUUGAAGAGAAAAAAAAAACAUCUAGAUCUCGUUUUCCACAUUUUAGUCCAAAACUUGCAGUUACUAGCAGUACAAGGUCUGCGAGUAAUAGGGUGAGUGGCGUCGGUGCUGUGUGCAGGAAGUGUGGAUCUGGGGAAGAUAAGUUUUUCUAAAGUGCAACUUGGCUAAAGUCAACUGACUAAAGAUUUAGGUCACCACGUGGUCCACGCCCAAGUGGUUGGCCAAUCUGAAACAACCCAUGAAAAAUCCACAUUUUAAAUUCCUUGAGACUGAGAUGUGCCAAUUGUGAAACAAAGUUUAAUGACCCAUCGAUGCCUAGUCUUGAAUCUUAAAUUCGUUAAAUAAUUUCUUGAGAGAUAAUAAUUCGUUAAAUUAACAGUGAGAGAUUACGGACGACAGCAAAAUCUCUCCAAAUAACAGUGGUAAGAGAUAUGGAACCGACCCCUCUCGCCGAGUUUACUUUUCGUUUUGCCGACCGCAGCACGAGAACGAAAUCAUUAAAACUGGAAGUAUCUAUGGAGGGCAAGGAGACAGGAGCGGCGCGCGCAGCGAUUUAGGGUACGUACGUUCCUGGCGACGUGCUCGGGGCUCUUGUGCUCGCCGGUGCCGAAGUUGAUGGGCACGAGCUCGUACUCGACGCCGGCCUCCUCCAGGGCCGCCACGCACCUCGUCACGUUCCACGACAGGGUCGGGCCGUACAGCUUCACCGGAGCCAUCGCUAAUCCCUUCUCACUCUCUCUCAAACCCCUCUCCUCUGCUCUCUUUCUCUCCUUCUCUCUGGGCAAAGAGUCUCGAUGGGUGGAGAAGAGCACGCUUGGGCCCCGGUUUAAUAGGCAGUGGUGGACUGGAAGACGGGAACAGAACAGAUGCGGCCGGCCGCGGAGUGGGUGCCGGGUAGCCGGUAGCGGUAGGUGAGGUGCGCGGUGGGUCAAUGGCAGCAGCUUCCGUUUCUUUAACCAUUUCAAGUACUACCAGUACUUGGAUAAUUAGUUUCCUGUGCUGAUUAGUCGUAUCGUGACCCUCCGUUAAGUUUAUUUAGCGACAGACGCAAGUGCUGACGCUCGAUUAGAAUUUGCUCCACCGAGGCAGGGAGAUGUGCGUGUCUCCUUUCCCCGUCAAUUUUCAUUUUAGUUUAGUUCACUGUAUAGUUGAGUAUCGUCCUUCCGAGGUUGUUUAUUUAGGAACAUCUGGUCUCACACGCCACUUAGUCUCACACACAAGUACUCACGACGUCUACUUAUCAUUAGUAAUUGUAGUCCUGUGCAUCAGCUUCAAACAUAGCAGCCGCAGCCGGCCACACACACUUCCGGAGUUCUCGGUUGAUUGGUGCGAGGCAAUGUCCCCUCCUUAUCCGUCCGCCACUCAGCCGGCGGGAAGAAUGUGGAUCCUGGAUCUACGUUACGACAUGGUAUUAAGGUUUUUGACAAAAAAAACUAAGGGGGGGGGGGGGGGGGGGGGGGUGGGGGGAAGAAGAAAACCUUUCUCACACAGACCUAGAAAAUCCCCCCUCAUGGCCCACCCGUACACAGCGGCACCGCGGCGUCACGUGAGAUCAAAGCCGGCUUUGACCUGUGCUUUGUUAUGGGACAGACGAGGGGAUUUUUUUAACCCUCCGGCCUGAAAUUCGCUCCCAAUGGGAGUCGAACCCAGGACCAAAGGGGUGCCACUAGAGCCUCUAUGUUGGAUGGUGCAAUAUAAUAGGCUUUCUGACUAUUGAUCCCUCUCGUCGUCAACUAAUUUCGUCGGAGGCGUAAAAGAUGGUGAGAGUAUUUGGUCGUUGCUAGUAAUUCAACGAAUGUUUUUUGUGUAGGGUACGUUUUUUCAUUUAGACUUUCGUUUUUGUCUAUUGGGCCCUAAUUUUUGAAAAUCUAGUGCUAGUUGUAUAUGUGGAAUGGAUAUCAGGUCUGAAUUGGUCUAACUUUUGAAUGUGUUGGAAGACUCCCCCCACCCCAAAAAAAAAUGUGUAGGAAGACAUAUCUAAGAUGUUUGACUUUGUCCUAAAUUAUUUUUAAUUUUUUUAAUUUUUUUAAUUUAUAGACUUUUAUUCGUCAUGAUAUAUAUUUUCAUACGUCCUCCGUCCAACAAAAGAUAUCUCAAGUUUAUCAAAUUUUGGAUGUACGUAGACAUGAAUUAGUGUAUAGAUGCAUUCAAAUUUAGUCAAAGAGGAUACAUUAUUUAUUGGACGGAGGAAGUAAUAUAUUUAUCAUCCACCUUUUUGUCUCCACGGCUAGUCCUAUCCUCAACCUUUGUCCACCUUUUUGUCUCCAUGGCUAGUCCUGUCCUCAACCUUUGUGCGCAUCAGAUUGCUACUGGCCGGUGUUUUUGCUCCUAUCAUAGACGAAAGAGAUGUUUAUGGUUUAUCUCGUGAAACGAACACGGCACACCAUCCUACUUUUGUCCAAACAGAACGAAGGGUCGACUCGUCCUCGUGGUCCAUAACACUGUUCUUAACGAAAACAGAAGAUUGACAUUUAAUAUGUCCUGGCCGGGAUAUACAGAGAAAACUCUAGAACUUGCACGAUCCAUUCUUAGGUGAAACAUCACAAAGCACAGGACAAGAGUACUGCAUUACGGGAUCAAUAUUUCCUUGGAAAUUUUCUGGAUAACUCAGCAAUGAUGUGCUAGUUGUUUCGACUUGUCAUCAGUCGCGGAAUCGCCAAACAACCAAGAGAAGCUCCCUGAGUGUCACAAUGCAUUACUUUUGGCAGGGCGUGUCCCCAAAAGCACAUGUCGAUAAUGGAAGUGGAAAAAGAAAGGAAAACUUAUGCUUGGAGCGUAAGCAGGUAGCUCGAAUGAUAGAUGACAGAAGUUGGAGUAGGUUGUCGGCGCAAUGCAAAGAGGUUCCGUACCCGAGUUUGAUGUAAUGGCGAUUUUUAAUGUUUCCCGGGUUAAAAUGUUUAUCUCCUCUGGAUUAAGUGUCAAUUUAGAAUAGUUUUUUAAAAGGUGUAGCCCACAGUACCUGCAUAUGCUCACGUAGGGAACGAUCUGAUUUUAUUGAUUCAAAUCGAUACAUGAUACAAAUAACAAAGAUACUCAACAAAAUUAAAAGAUUCAUUGUAGUCCUUCGGAAUAAACUUCUCUUAAUCCAUCAUUUACAUCUUGAUACUUCUCCACGUAAUCGUUGACAAAAUUGCAGGAUACCACGCUUGCACAAGCUGAACUAACUUCAAAGGUUUUGAAAAGCCACAUGAGCCGCCAGCUCAAACGGUG